Molecule: long non-coding RNA, 1667 nt
Filed under: Scleropages formosus (Asian bonytongue)
Lineage: Eukaryota; Metazoa; Chordata; Actinopteri; Osteoglossiformes; Osteoglossidae
Description: lncRNA (ENSSFOG00015031907.1)
Source: RNAcentral
AAUUUUAGCUGUUUUAUGCUCAAAGUUCGGAGUGCAGACAAGUUCACUGUCGGCGCUGCCUGUCUGACAAACACAGAGACAGAUACCAAGCGUGUGGAUGCUGCCACGCUCGGAGCAGCAUUCUUACAAGCAUGACAAGAGCCUGGCUCAACAGGAUCUCCUUGACUUUGUCCAUCUUGCUGCUGCCGUGUAUCCAUGGAGAUGCUCAGACAAAGACCGAUGUAUGUACAGUCCGAACACCUGUAAGAGCGAGGAAUGUUUUUGCACUGGAACCACUGAAAAUUCACUGUGAAAUACAAUUCUGCGAGAUGAAAUUCAACGUGUCCUGGUGUAAAAUCGAUGAUACAAAUGACUGCAGGAAUAUUGAUGAAACACCUCACAUCAGAACCCUUCUGAAAACCACUCCAGAGGACAUCAAUGUGCACCUGUCAUACCUACACUUCACUCAGACUUCACGGAGUGAUUCUGGUCAAUACAGGUGUAAAAUUUCAGGGAGCAUAACAUCGGUGAGCCACUCCAUUCAUGUCAAUGUCACAGAUGCACCAAGUGACAGGAACAUCAGCUCUGCAAUUAACACAACAAAUGCUCCUGUCAACGAUUUACAGCCAGGACUGCAGGCCAAGCUGCCGUAUAUUUACUUUUUAGCUGGCAUCAUAACAAUCCUUAUCAUAGUGAUUGGGAUCUCUGUAUUUAUUAUGCGAAGAUGCGAAGGAUCGCAGAAAAGAGAAAAAGCUGAAAACUCCCAGAAUCAGUUGCGCUUACAGUCCAGCACACCAGAGAAUUCCUGCCAAGCCACACUCGGCCCUGAAUCCCUCAUGCGGCCGAAGAGCGUGUGCGUCCACCCAGCUCCGCACUUGGACCAUGCAAGUGGCGUUUAUGACAACGUUCCUACGACGACAACGUCCCAGUUGAAGUCCACCAAGGCCUCUGUGAGAGCGCCGCUCACUAGGCGGGAGACACCUAACGUGACGUCCGCCGUGAUACUCGCAGAGAGUAUCUAUGACAACGAUGGGGCCGAUGAGAAGGGCGAGGAAAGCUGCCUCGUGUACGCCGCUCUCAACCAUAAGGCUGUCCGGGAGGGUCACAGCCCCAUACACUCCUCCAUUUUUGAGGAAGACCUCUCAGAAUACGCUCCCAUUCGGGUCUCCUGAACCUAGAGCGAGUCCAUGGCUCAGGUUGCGAAGAAAGCGAUACCUGGGAACUUUGGGUAUAUACUGUACUCCAUGAAUCUUUAGCGCAUACUACAUGUACUGGUGAGGGAAGUCUUCCUCUCGAAAUUCCUUUUCAUUUCGUUCCUGACUGGACACUUUCUUGGCUAUCAUUCUCAGGGACUGGUUGCUGAAAGAAUGUUUUUUUUGUGGGAAAGCCCUUUCAAUCUAUCAUGAUUUGUCAUGGGUUUUAUUUCUACUGACUGUUAUUGCAGUCGUUGCGAUAAAGCAUUUUACCCAACGCUGUUCACGAAACGCAGUUGAAUGUCAGCGGAAAAUGUGAAAUGUGUUCCUGCCUCAUGGUACUCGACCCUCACGGCAGGCAUCCGGAGAUUCAACGUGAACGUGCCCAUUCAGAUAAACAUAGUUACAUAUGUCACCUGUGCGGAAGGUGUUUUUCUUUUAGGGAAACACGGGUAUGUUCACAGAAACAAUAAAGUCUCUAGUCAAACUAUGCCA